UUAGUUGAAGAGAGAGAGACGCGGUGGAGGAUCAGAGACCCUCAGUGAUACUCAUAUGCCUCUGAUAUUAUAGGGAAUUAUUAUGGGAAUUCAUUAACGCUCGUUAUCGAUCCACGUGCGCGUUCUUGAAUAACACUCGUGAUCCGGUUUCAUCGGCUGGGAAUAAACUUUCACAUUCCUGUUGUUAUUUAUCAUCCUUUAUUCAUAAGGACAAAGUGGAUCUGGUGGAUUACAGGUUUGAGUGGCAGAAAUGAGGGAGAGGUUCGCGUUUCAUCUUCUCAUCUUCGUGUUGACGCUGUUUUGGCACACCAGGUCAGUGUCCGCAGAUGCCACAACAGAUGCCUUCAAAAAUAACAUCACCCUGUUCACACGCAUCCUGGACCGCCUACUGGAUGGCUACGACAACCGGCUGAGACCCGGACUGGGAGG
Long non-coding RNA from Sinocyclocheilus grahami, 429 nucleotides. RefSeq lists it as uncharacterized. The transcript has 3 exons. Lineage: Eukaryota; Metazoa; Chordata; Actinopteri; Cypriniformes; Cyprinidae. The record is from RefSeq and is a predicted model, not a curated record.